GACGAACGCUGGCGGCGUGCCUAAUACAUGCAAGUAGAACGCUGAAGGAGGAGCUUGCUCUUCUGGAUGAGUUGCGAACGGGUGAGUAACGCGUAGGUAACCUGCCUGGUAGCGGGGGAUAACUAUUGGAAACGAUAGCUAAUACCGCAUAAGAGUAGAUGUUGCAUGACAUUUACUUAAAAGGUGCAAUUGCAUCACUACCAGAUGGACCUGCGUUGUAUUAGCUAGUUGGUGGGGUAACGGCUCACCAAGGCGACGAUACAUAGCCGACCUGAGAGGGUGAUCGGCCACACUGGGACUGAGACACGGCCCAGACUCCUACGGGAGGCAGCAGUAGGGAAUCUUCGGCAAUGGACGGAAGUCUGACCGAGCAACGCCGCGUGAGUGAAGAAGGUUUUCGGAUCGUAAAGCUCUGUUGUAAGAGAAGAACGAGUGUGAGAGUGGAAAGUUC
This 451-nucleotide ribosomal RNA is filed under the name Streptococcus mitis. RNAcentral describes it as "bacterial SSU rRNA". It matches the Rfam family "Bacterial small subunit ribosomal RNA", at positions 28 to 465 of the family's 1533-position model. Lineage: Bacteria; Bacillati; Bacillota; Bacilli; Lactobacillales; Streptococcaceae. The record is from RNAcentral.